CUUUGCGUCUCAAGCUUCUGCCUCCAAUCAACCCCAGAGUACUUAGGAUCAAACUCAUUCAGCGCAUUCAGAGUCAAGAAUGAUCUCUGAUUGUUCACUUCCACCACGCUCUGCACUUCACAUCGCGCCACCAAAAAGGUAUCAUUAUCCAACUUCCUAGCGCAUUCAGAGUCAAGAACGAUCUCUGAUUGUUCACUUCCACCACACUCUGCACUUCACAUCGCGCCACCAAAAAGGUAUCAUCAUCCAACUUCCACCUCCUGUACCUGUAACCAACAGACGCCACCUCUUCCCCUUCAGUCGCAAACGGGUUAGGCUCAUCAUAAUUCAACUUCUUCCCAUCUCUUAUCAGAACCUGUUGCGAGAAAUUCUGAUU
This 376-nucleotide long non-coding RNA is filed under the name Nicotiana benthamiana. Its description in RNAcentral is "long non-coding RNA (NBEN_LNC016755)". Lineage: Eukaryota; Viridiplantae; Streptophyta; Magnoliopsida; Solanales; Solanaceae. The record is from RNAcentral.